Molecule: ribosomal RNA, 1347 nt
Filed under: uncultured bacterium
Lineage: Bacteria
Description: 16S ribosomal RNA
Rfam family: Bacterial small subunit ribosomal RNA
Source: RNAcentral
GGCGAGUGGCGGACGGGUGAGUAAUAUAUCGGAACGUGCCCAGUCGUGGGGGAUAACGCAGCGAAAGCUGUGCUAAUACCGCAUACGAUCUCUGGAUGAAAGCGGGGGACUCGCAAGGGCCUCGCGCGAUUGGAGCGGCCGAUAUCAGAUUAGCUAGUUGGUGGGGUAAAAGCCCACCAAGGCGACGAUCUGUAGCUGGUCUGAGAGGACGACCAGCCACACUGGAACUGAGACACGGUCCAGACUCCUACGGGAGGCAGCAGUGGGGAAUUUUGGACAAUGGGCGAAAGCCUGAUCCAGCAAUGCCGCGUGAGUGAAGAAGGCCUUCGGGUUGUAAAGCUCUUUUGUCAGGGAAGAAACGGUGGGGGCUAAUAUCCCCCACUAAUGACGGUACCUGAAGAAUAAGCACCGGCUAACUACGUGCCAGCAGCCGCGGUAAUACGUAGGGUGCAAGCGUUAAUCGGAAUUACUGGGCGUAAAGCGUGCGCAGGCGGUUUUGUAAGUCUGAUGUGAAAUCCCCGGGCUCAACCUGGGAAUUGCAUUGGAGACUGCAAGGCUAGAAUCUGGCAGAGGGGGGUAGAAUUCCACGUGUAGCAGUGAAAUGCGUAGAGAUGUGGAGGAACACCGAUGGCGAAGGCAGCCCCCUGGGAUAACACUGACGCUCAUGCACGAAAGCGUGGGGAGCAAACAGGAUUAGAUACCCUGGUAGUCCACGCCCUAAACGAUGUCAACUAGUUGUCGGGUCUUAAUUGACUUGGUAACGCAGCUAACGCGUGAAGUUGACCGCCUGGGGAGUACGGUCGCAAGAUUAAAACUCAAAGGAAUUGACGGGGACCCGCACAAGCGGUGGAUGAUGUGGAUUAAUUCGAUGCAACGCGAAAAACCUUACCUACCCUUGACAUGGUCGGAAUCCUGAAGAGAUUUGGGAGUGCUCGAAAGAGAACCGGCGCACAGGUGCUGCAUGGCUGUCGUCAGCUCGUGUCGUGAGAUGUUGGGUUAAGUCCCGCAACGAGCGCAACCCUUGUCAUUAGUUGCUAGCAUGUAGUUGGGCACUCUAAUGAGACUGCCGGUGACAAACCGGAGGAAGGUGGGGAUGACGUCAAGUCCUCAUGGCCCUUAUGGGUAGGGCUUCACACGUCAUACAAUGGUACAUACAGAGGGCCGCCAACCCGCGAGGGGGAGCUAAUCCCAGAAAGUGUAUCGUAGUCCGGAUUGUAGUCUGCAACUCGACUACAUGAAGUUGGAAUCGCUAGUAAUCGCGGAUCAGCAUGUCGCGGUGAAUACGUUCCCGGGUCUUGUACACACCGCCCGUCACACCAUGGGAGCGGGUUUUACCAGAAGUAGGUA